UAGCGGAGGAAAAGAAACCAACAGGGAUUGCCUCAGUAACGGCGAGUGAAGCGGCAAAAGCUCAAAUUUGAAAUCUAGCACCUUCGGUGUUCGAGUUGUAAUUUGAAGAUGGUAACCUUGGGUUUGGCUCUUGUCUAUGUUCCUUGGAACAGGACGUCAUAGAGGGUGAGAAUCCCGUCUGAUGAGAUGCCCAUUCCUAUGUAAGGUGCUAUCGAAGAGUCGAGUUGUUUGGGAAUGCAGCUCUAAGUGGGUGGUAAAUUCCAUCUAAAGCUAAAUAUUGGCGAGAGACCGAUAGCGAACAAGUACAGUGAUGGAAAGAUGAAAAGAACUUUGAAAAGAGAGUGAAAAAGUACGUGAAAUUGUUGAAAGGGAAGGGCAUUAGAUCAGACUUGGUGUUUUACGAUUAUCUUCUCUUCUUGAGUUGUGCACUCGUAUUUCACUGGGCCAGCAUCGAUUCGGAUGGCAAGAUAAUGGCAGUUGAAUGUGGCUUCACUUCGGUGGAGUGUUAUAGCUUCUGCUGAUAUUGCCUGUCUGGAUCGAGGGCUGCGUCUUUGA
RNAcentral lists this ribosomal RNA (555 nucleotides) under Hansenula anomala. RNAcentral describes it as "LSU rRNA". It matches the Rfam family "Eukaryotic large subunit ribosomal RNA", at positions 48 to 606 of the family's 3401-position model. Lineage: Eukaryota; Fungi; Ascomycota; Saccharomycetes; Phaffomycetales; Wickerhamomycetaceae. The record is from RNAcentral.